UGCAAGUCGAACGAACUCUGGUAUUGAUUGGUGCUUGCAUCAUGAUUUACAUUUGAGUGAGUGGCGAACUGGUGAGUAACACGUGGGAAACCUGCCCAGAAGCGGGGGAUAACACCUGGAAACAGAUGCUAAUACCGCAUAACAACUUGGACCGCAUGGUCCGAGCUUGAAAGAUGGCUUCGGCUAUCACUUUUGGAUGGUCCCGCGGCGUAUUAGCUAGAUGGUGGGGUAAUGGCUCACCAUGGCAAUGAUACGUAGCCGACCUGAGAGGGUAAUCGGCCACAUUGGGACUGAGACACGGCCCAAACUCCUACGGGAGGCAGCAGUAGGGAAUCUUCCACAAUGGACGAAAGUCUGAUGGAGCAACGCCGCGUGAGUGAAGAAGGGUUUCGGCUCGUAAAACUCUGUUGUUAAAGAAGAACAUAUCUGAGAGUAACUGUUCAGGUAUUGACGGUAUUUAACCAGAAAGCCACGGCUAACUACGUGCCAGCAGCCGCGGUAAUACGUAGGUGGCAAGCGUUGUCCGGAUUUAUUGGGCGUAAAGCGAGCGCAGGCGGUUUUUUAAGUCUGAUGUGAAAGCCUUCGGCUCAACCGAAGAAGUGCAUCGGAAACUGGGAAACUUGAGUGCAGAAGAGGACAGUGGAACUCCAUGUGUAGCGGUGAAAUGCGUAGAUAUAUGGAAGAACACCAGUGGCGAAGGCGGCUGUCUGGUCUGUAACUGACGCUGAGGCUCGAAAGUAUGGGUAGCAAACAGGAUUAGAUACCCUGGUAGUCCAUACCGUAAACGAUGAAUGCUAAGUGUUGGAGGGUUUCCGCCCUUCAGUGCUGCAGCUAACGCAUUAAGCAUUCCGCCUGGGGAGUACGGCCGCAAGGCUGAAACUCAAAGGAAUUGACGGGGGCCCGCACAAGCGGUGGAGCAUGUGGUUUAAUUCGAAGCUACGCGAAGAACCUUACCAGGUCUUGACAUACUAUGCAAAUCUAAGAGAUUAGACGUUCCCUUCGGGGACAUGGAUACAGGUGGUGCAUGGUUGUCGUCAGCUCGUGUCGUGAGAUGUUGGGUUAAGUCCCGCAACGAGCGCAACCCUUAUUAUCAGUUGCCAGCAUUAAGUUGGGCACUCUGGUGAGACUGCCGGUGACAAACCGGAGGAAGGUGGGGAUGACGUCAAAUCAUCAUGCCCCUUAUGACCUGGGCUACACACGUGCUACAAUGGAUGGUACAACGAGUUGCGAACUCGCGAGAGUAAGCUAAUCUCUUAAAGCCAUUCUCAGUUCGGAUUGUAGGCUGCAACUCGCCUACAUGAAGUCGGAAUCGCUAGUAAUCGCGGAUCAGCAUGCCGCGGUGAAUACGUUCCCGGGCCUUGUACACACCGCCCGUCACACCAUGAGAGUUUGUAACACCCAAAGUCGGUGGGGUAACCUUUUAGGAACCAGCC
Molecule: ribosomal RNA, 1433 nt
Filed under: Lactiplantibacillus plantarum
Lineage: Bacteria; Bacillati; Bacillota; Bacilli; Lactobacillales; Lactobacillaceae
Description: bacterial SSU rRNA
Rfam family: Bacterial small subunit ribosomal RNA
Source: RNAcentral